This 69-nucleotide transfer RNA is filed under the name Diplometopon zarudnyi. Its description in RNAcentral is "tRNA-His". Lineage: Eukaryota; Metazoa; Chordata; Lepidosauria; Squamata; Trogonophidae. The record is from RNAcentral.
GUAAGUGUAGUUUAAUAAAAACCUCAGACUGUGAUUCUGCCAAUAGAAAUUAUAAAUUUCUCACUUACC